GCGGCCGCCGGGCCAGUAGUACAUUUUUACAGAAAAAUACAAUUAUAGGGACUAGGAGGUUGUAAAAUGUAUACAUAAAUAACUUGUUUUGGCUGUUAAGCGUAUCUUUAGGCACGUAAAAAGUAAGUAAAUCGCUCUAGAAAUCUGAAGAAUGCUUACUCGGCAAAACCAUCAGUUGGGUUUGGAGAAGAAAUUUCAACGAAGACGUCUUGUGAGAACUUGAAGACAUGAGUAGACGAAAGUGCCUGGCAAAUCCCACUGAUGUGCUUUGUGCGUCUGAACAGAAACCACUGCAGUGAGGCUUGACAUGAUUAUUCCUCAUUCAUUGCCUGCCAGCCUGCCACCCUGCCCAGCCCUCACCCAAAAACAUCACAAGAUGAAGGUGAUCAGUUGCAGCAUUUGCAUAGUAUGAAGGAGUAACGCAACCAAGUGAUCAAUGUAUUCAAAAAGAGUAGAUGAGAGUGCCUGGCAAAUCCCACUGAUGUGCUUUGUGCGUCUGAACAGGUGUGUAGUGUUUCUUAUUUGAAGUUUCAAUGUUAAGAAGAUGCAAUGCCAGUCUGCUUGAAUGCCAGAAAGCACGAAAAGCUAAGGCGGAAUCUACUAGAGCUCUAGCAUUCUCUUGUCGUAUGCAGUCCUCUGAUGGCCUUUGUUGAUAUUGUUUAGCACUAGAUGAAGUAUGUUCUGUAAAAUGAAAAAUACACCGCCUGAUAAACACGCUGGGAGGGAGAAGGGGUAGCUUUAGGCUCUUUCGUGAUGUGAGAGACUCUCGUCUAAACGUAAAUAAGAGAACCUUGCUUAUGCCGUCUAACCUUGUCUUAAGUUGUCAAACCUGUCAUUCCUAUUAUUUUCUUGUUAUCACAGUAUAAAUCUAUUAACUGAAAUGUCUGUCAUUUAUUUACAGAAACCACUGCAGUGAGGCUUGACAUGGUUAUCCCUGAUUCAUUGCCUGGUAAUACAGUGGAGAAACGUUGUAAGACUGUCUGCCAGCCUGCCACUCUGCCCAGCCCUCACCCAAAGCAAUCACAAGAUCAAGAAUGAGCUCCUGCUGUUGACGGACAUCCACCAGGCUGUGCAGUGACUGCUGACCAAUAAGGGUUGAAAGGACGGGUAGAGGAGUGGAGGUGGACAUGGAGCCCUUUGUGUUCGACUUCGAAAUACAAGAGGACAUGGAGGACUUCUCGAAGGACUGCCAGGCCGUACUGGCAACAUGUGCCCACCCUAACACUCACACUUUCCCUAAAGUUUUGGUAUCAAGGUCUGUGUCUGGCAGUGCAAUGAACUUGCGCACACCUAGUGGUGUUGCGGUAAGCAACCACUUGGCCAACUGAAACAAAGAUGCGAGGCGAAUUAAUUGUUAUUACCAAAAUAUUGUCAGCAUUUCAGUGCAACAGUGUUUAGAUAAGUACCUAAUAAGCUAGUUGAGCCUGUGGGUUUGUAUUCGAUUUACAACGGCUAACACUCAUAAACAAACAAACACACACCCACCCACACACACACACACACACACACUCCCAACAUUUCCUUUGACUCUCCCACACACUCCAAAACAACUCCAGUUGAGAAAAUGUUCUUUUCUAAUCUCACCAUUACGGUCUUCCUGGAUGAUAUCAGAAUAACAGCCACUCUUGGAAAUGUGUAGUAAAUGUUUUAUUUAUGUACACGUUUAUACUUCAGUUGUUUUCAUUUAGUAUUGUGUUUGCUUUCUUAUCUUAACAAAUAAGAUGCUUCAGAGGCUGAGAGUGCACAUAGUUAAAUGUCUGCACAUAUGUAAUUAUUCAUAUUUUAAUUAAAAGUUUAUUUUUGUGUUUUUUUUGUUUUGUUUGAUUGUCCUGGUCCGUCUUUGGUGGAUUUAAAACUGUGUUUGUCUAAUAAACAAAUUUGAUUUAAUUGAACCAAUUGAAAACAUAGGCUACUUUGGCCUUCCCUUGUCUUUUCCAUUUGGCUAAGUCUUUAAACAGUAAUAUCUGCUAGAAGUAGACCUAUCUACCGGGAGUUGUGGAUGUUUGGGCGCCCUUUGUUAUCAUGACAAGUUUAAAUCAAAGAAAGAUGCAUUUUAUGUUUAUAUUUGGGUUAUCUUAGUUUAACAUGCAGCCUAUGUGAUUAAUCAAAGGUAAGUGCAACAAUACUCAUUAUUUCAAGGUUCUUUGCCGUGAAUUUUAAAGA
Molecule: long non-coding RNA, 2163 nt
Organism: Engraulis encrasicolus (European anchovy)
Lineage: Eukaryota; Metazoa; Chordata; Actinopteri; Clupeiformes; Engraulidae
Exons: 7
Source: RefSeq, a predicted model, not a curated record